This 3384-nucleotide small RNA is filed under the name Pan troglodytes (chimpanzee). RNAcentral describes it as "retained intron". The record is from RNAcentral. Lineage: Eukaryota; Metazoa; Chordata; Mammalia; Primates; Hominidae.
CCGCACGUGGACAGCGGAGGUGCUGCGCCUAGCCACACAUCGCGGGCUCCGGCGCUGCGUCUCCAGGCACAGGGAGCCGCCAGGAAGGGCAGGAGAGCGCGCCAGGGCCAGGGCCCGGCCCCAGCCGCCUGCGACUCGCUCCCCUCCGCUGGGAUCCCGCUCCAUGGCUCCGCGGCCACCGCCGCCCAUGUCGCCCUCCGGUCCGGAGGGGCCUUGCCGCAGCCGGUUCGAACACUCGACGAAGGAGUAAGCAGCGCCUCCGCCUCCGCGCCGGCCGCCCCCACGCCCCCAGGAAGGCCGAGGCAGGAGAGGCAGGAGGGAGGAAACAGGAGCGAGCAGGAACGGGGCUCCGGUUGCUGCAGGACAGUCCAGCCCGGAGGAGGCUGCGCUCCGGGCAGCGGCGGGCGGCGCCGCCGGGUUGCUCGGAGCUCAGGCCCGGCGGCUGCGGGGAGGCGUCUCGGAACCCCGGGAGGCCCCCCGCACCUGCCCGCGGCCCACUCCGCGGACUCACCUGGCUCCCGGCUCCCCCUUCCCCAUCCCCGCCGCCGCAGCCCGAGCGGGGCUCCGCGGGCCUGGAGCACGGCUGGGUCUAAUAUGCCCGGAGCCGAGGCGCGAUGAAGGAGAAGUCCAAGAAUGCGGCCAAGACCAGGAGGGAGAAGGAAAAUGGCGAGUUUUACGAGCUUGCCAAGCUGCUCCCGCUGCCGUCGGCCAUCACCUCGCAGCUGGACAAAGCGUCCAUCAUCCGCCUCACCACGAGCUACCUGAAGAUGCGCGCCGUCUUCCCCGAAGGUUUAGGAGACGCGUGGGGACAGCCGAGCCGCGCCGGGCCCCUGGACAGCGUCGCCAAGGAGCUGGGAUCGCACUUGCUGCAGACUUUGGAUGGAUUUGUUUUUGUGGUAGCAUCUGAUGGCAAAAUCAUGUAUAUAUCCGAGACCGCUUCUGUCCAUUUAGGCUUGUCCCAGGUGGAGCUCACGGGCAACAGUAUUUAUGAAUACAUCCAUCCUUCCGACCACGAUGAGAUGACCGCUGUCCUCACGGCCCACCAGCCGCUGCACCACCACCUGCUCCAAGAGUAUGAGAUAGAGAGGUCGUUCUUUCUUCGAAUGAAAUGUGUCUUGGCGAAAAGGAACGCGGGCCUGACCUGCAGCGGAUACAAGGUCAUCCACUGCAGUGGCUACUUGAAGAUCAGGCAGUAUAUGCUGGACAUGUCCCUGUACGACUCCUGCUACCAGAUUGUGGGGCUGGUGGCCGUGGGCCAGUCGCUGCCACCCAGUGCCAUCACCGAGAUCAAGCUGUACAGUAACAUGUUCAUGUUCAGGGCCAGCCUCGACCUGAAGCUGAUAUUCCUGGAUUCCAGGGUGACCGAGGUGACGGGGUACGAGCCGCAGGACCUGAUCGAGAAGACCCUAUACCAUCACGUGCACGGCUGCGACGUGUUCCACCUCCGCUACGCACACCACCUCCUGUUGGUGAAGGGCCAGGUCACCACCAAGUACUACCGGCUGCUGUCCAAGCGGGGCGGCUGGGUGUGGGUGCAGAGCUACGCCACCGUGGUGCACAACAGCCGCUCGUCCCGGCCCCACUGCAUCGUGAGUGUCAAUUAUGUACUCACGGAGAUUGAAUACAAGGAACUUCAGCUGUCCCUGGAGCAGGUGUCCACUGCCAAGUCCCAGGACUCCUGGAGGACCGCCUUGUCUACCUCACAAGAAACUAGGAAAUUAGUGAAACCCAAAAAUACCAAGAUGAAGACAAAGCUGAGAACAAACCCUUACCCCCCACAGCAAUACAGCUCGUUCCAAAUGGACAAACUGGAAUGCGGCCAGCUCGGAAACUGGAGAGCCAGUCCUCCUGCAAGCGCUGCUGCUCCUCCAGAACCGCAGCUCCACUCAGAAAGCAGUGACCUUCUGUACACGCCAUCCUACAGCCUGCCCUUCUCCUACCAUUACGGACACUUCCCUCUGGACUCUCACGUCUUCAGCAGCAAAAAGCCAAUGUUGCCGGCCAAGUUCGGGCAGCCCCAAGGAUCCCCUUGUGAGGUGGCACGCUUUUUCCUGAGCACACUGCCAGCCAGCGGUGAAUGCCAGUGGCAUUAUGCCAACCCCCUAGUGCCUAGCAGCUCGUCUCCAGCUAAAAAUCCUCCGGAGCCACCGGCAAACACUGCUAGGCACAGCCUGGUGCCAAGCUACGAAGGUGGGUCAGGUCUGCUCGUGGGGAAGGUGGGAGGACUGGGCACGGCCGGGGGCCGAAGCAGCCAUGGCGGUGGGUGGCAGAUGGAGACAGAACCCUCACGCUUUGGGCAAACUUUCCCUCUUUCUGCUUCUAAGUAGGGCUUGCUGUGCUUUCUUGCUCUCAAUGCAGGUGCUCCUCGAGAGUGAGAAAUGGCAGUCUGCCUGCCUCGGGGACACUAGUGACAGUAUAAAGGGCAAAGGAAAACCGAGUAUCCGGCCUUCACGUAAAUCCUGGCCACAUUCACCAACCAAAGGGGGACAGUGAUUUUCAAAACCAGCUCCCAUGUGCUGAGAACACCCCAGCUGCAUUUCUUUUGCAAGAUUCCUUUCCACUCCAACCAGAAGUGAAUAUUGGAGACAAACGGCCUAUUGGCUAUUUUCCCAUGCCAGUUUUGGAAGUGGGGAAAACUAUGGUGGAAAUUUGUGGGCUUGGGGACAGAAAUGCCACUCACCAACCCAGGGCAAAGAACACAAACCCUCCAGGCCUCAGUUUCUUCACCUGUAAAAUGGGGUGAAGCUGUGAUGUGCCUACUCCCAAGGACACGACACACAGUAGGGACCUGCCCUGUACAUGCUAGUUCAACAGAAAGGAAUGGCCUUUCACCUUCUCCUGGUGGCAGGCAAGCAGAUGUCCUCUGUGGAGAUACCGCCAGCUCCCCAGGACGCAGACUGACUCCUGUUUGCUCGCUGGACCAACCCCAGGCAGAAGGUGGAAGGUGGGAACAGAGGUUUAGCUGCAGGACAUGUAUUCCCAUUGCACCGAGACCUAACUGCCGCUCAGAGUGUAGACCGAGAUGGUGCAGAUGCCUGCAGGGCCACUAAAAUGUGGGUGAAGGUGACAUCAGGAUUAUGUGCCCCAGGCCGGGCUCAGUGGCUCACGCCUGUAAUCCCAGCGCUUUGGGAGGCCAAGGUGGGUGGAUCACCUGAGGUCAGGAGUUUGAGACAAGCCUGCCAACAUGCUGAAACCCCAUCUCCACUAAAAAUACAAAAAUUAGUUGGGCAUGGUGGUGAGCACCUGUAAUCCCAGCUACUCUGGAGGCUGAGACAGGAGGAUCACUUGAACCCGGGAGGUGGAGGUUGCAGUGAGCUGAGAUCACAUCACUGCACUCCAGCCUGGGUAACAGAGUGAGGCUGUCUCAAAAAAAAAAAAAAAAAA